UGAGGAAUAUUGGUCAAUGGACGGAAGUCUGANCCAGCCAAGUAGCGUGCAGGAUGACGGCCCUAUGGGUUGUAAACUGCUUUUGUAUGGGGAUAAAGUUAGGGACGUGUCCCUAUUUGCAGGUACCAUACGAAUAAGGACCGGCUAAUUCCGUGCCAGCAGCCGCGGUAAUACGGAAGGUCCAGGCGUUAUCCGGAUUUAUUGGGUUUAAAGGGAGCGUAGGCUGGAGAUUAAGUGUGUUGUGAAAUGUAGACGCUCAACGUCUGAAUUGCAGCGCAUACUGGUUUCCUUGAGUACGCACAACGUUGGCGGAAUUCGUCGUGUAGCGGUGAAAUGCUUAGAUAUGACGAAGAACUCCGAUUGCGAAGGCAGCUGACGGGAGCGCAACUGACGCUUAAGCUCGAAGGUGCGGGUAUCAAACAGGAUUAGAUACCCUGGUAGUCCGCACAGUAAACGAUGGAUGCCCGCUGUUGGUACCUGGUAUCAGCGGCUAAGCGAAAGCAUUAAGCAUCCCACCUGGGGAGUACGCCGGCAACGGUG
This 540-nucleotide ribosomal RNA is filed under the name uncultured bacterium. Its description in RNAcentral is "bacterial SSU rRNA". It matches the Rfam family "Bacterial small subunit ribosomal RNA", at positions 355 to 896 of the family's 1533-position model. The record is from RNAcentral.